Molecule: ribosomal RNA, 442 nt
Filed under: uncultured bacterium
Lineage: Bacteria
Description: partial 16S ribosomal RNA
Rfam family: Bacterial small subunit ribosomal RNA
Source: RNAcentral
CCUACGGGAGGCAGCAGUGAGGAAUAUUGGUCAAUGGGCGCAAGCCUGACCCAGCAACGCCGCGUGCAGGAAGACGGCUUUCGGGUUGUAAACUUCUUUUGACAGGGGAGAGUAGAAGACUGUACCUAUCGCAUAAGCCACGGCUAACUAAGUGCCAGCAGCCGUGGUAAUACGUAGGUGGCGAGCGUUGUCCGGAUUUACUGGGUGUAAAGGGCGUGUAGCCGGGUUGACAAGUCAGCUGUGAAAUCCGGCGGCUUAACCGCAGAACUGCAUUUGAAACUGGCGAUCUUGAGUACGGGGGAGGCAGACGGAAUUCGUAGGGUAGCGGUGAAAUGCGUAGAUAUGAGGAGGAACCCCAGUGGCGAAGGCGGUUUGCUGCACAGCAACUGACGGUGAGGCGCGAAAGCGUGGGGAGCAAACAGGAUUAGAUACCCGAGUAGUC